GAUAGUUUACUGAGAAUGCUGCAUCUGGGGUUGGCAUCAUUUCCCUUUUGAAUGACAGAAUGUGCAUAAAAGUCUCUUGCCCGCACUGAACUCACACGUGCCCGGCAGGAAGGAGCUCUCACGAAGUGCCAGCUGGAUGUGAGCUUGCUCUGGCAGCAGCAGUGCGGUCCUUGUUUCUGAGCUGCCAGUUAG
RNAcentral lists this non-coding RNA (192 nucleotides) under Pan troglodytes (chimpanzee). Lineage: Eukaryota; Metazoa; Chordata; Mammalia; Primates; Hominidae. The record is from RNAcentral.